UAUUAUUAAUUCUAUCAUCAAACAUACGUCUAUUGAGAACACAUCAGGGCAUCAUCAUACAAGAAGGUGAGGUCCUACAUUCUAGCUCCAGUAUUCUUAACCCCCACAAAACUGAAAUCGACUCGUCCCUCGUAACUCGAAGUUGCUCAAGAAAAAUGGUCAGAAUAUCAAAGCGAAGGUGCUAAAAUAAGGAACCUAAGCAACUUGUGACGCUUGAAAAUUUUGUGAUUCGGAAUACUCCUCUUUGGAUCGUCCUCUCAAGCAGUCUUCUGUUUCGCUGACGUGGAGGAAAGGUAAGAUAGAGCCCUAUGGCCCACAAACACAAGGAAGACACCAAGGAAGCUGAGGUACUUCAGGGUUGUGAAAAGAUCCAGCUAUUACAACAAGAAUGAAUAACGUAGAGCAGCAGCACUGCUCCAAUUCCAGCAUGGAAAAGUGAGGCAAAUGCUGCGGGUGCUGGCAAGGACGGGAAGUUCUUCAAGUUUACCCCGAGACGCAUAAGCCCAAUCAAGAACCCAACAAUAGGCAGAAGCGUGAGGCCCGUAAACGCAAAUGAGAGUUCCUUGGGUGGCCUCUUCUCUGGUGAACGGAAUAUGUGCGAUAUUUCCUUCUUCGGACCAAAUUUUGAG
Molecule: small RNA, 629 nt
Filed under: Oryza sativa Japonica Group (Japanese rice)
Lineage: Eukaryota; Viridiplantae; Streptophyta; Magnoliopsida; Poales; Poaceae
Description: sRNA Os01g0911250
Source: RNAcentral